This 164-nucleotide ribosomal RNA is filed under the name Sesbania drummondii. RNAcentral describes it as "5.8S ribosomal RNA". It matches the Rfam family "5.8S ribosomal RNA". From Rfam's summary of the family: 5.8S ribosomal RNA (5.8S rRNA) is a component of the large subunit of the eukaryotic ribosome. RNAcentral also lists the same sequence under 4 other names. The record is from RNAcentral. Lineage: Eukaryota; Viridiplantae; Streptophyta; Magnoliopsida; Fabales; Fabaceae.
CACAAUGACUCUCGGCAACGGAUAUCUCGGCUCUUGCAUCGAUGAAGAACGUAGCGAAAUGCGAUACUUGGUGUGAAUUGCAGAAUCCCGUGAACCAUCGAGUCUUUGAACGCAAGUUGCGCCCGAAGCCAUUAGGUCGAGGGCACGUCUGCCUGGGUGUCACA